This 204-nucleotide long non-coding RNA is filed under the name Lathyrus oleraceus (garden pea). RNAcentral describes it as "Pisum sativum (pea) long non-coding RNA (PSAT_LNC040476)". Lineage: Eukaryota; Viridiplantae; Streptophyta; Magnoliopsida; Fabales; Fabaceae. The record is from RNAcentral.
GCAAGUUGCAUUGUUCGCCACCACCCGAGAAGCAAAAGAUUCGAGAGUCCAGGCUUAAUAUACAUGCAUAGAUAGUGGUCUAAUGACAAGGGCCAACGACGGAAGCUCGGGACGGGGUCGUAUGAUGCGGAAGUCUCACGUACGGUUCCCUGAGAAGGGAGUGGCUACCUACUGGAGCUUCGACCAACCACCACCGGUAAAUUC